AAGAAAAUGGGCAGCCAUGGAUGAGAAAACAUUCGGCCAAGCUUCUAUGGCCCAUCUAGGUACAAUAUUUGUCCCGUUUUUAAUGUUUUUUUACGUUUUUAGAGUCUCGGUAACUUAAUUUAGCUUAUUCUAGCAAUAAUUUAACGUUUAUAUUUGGAAAAAUACUCAUAGGUGAAAUGUGUUUAUUUUGAUGUUUCAUGUGAAGCUUAGAAUCAUGUUAAACGAUUUUUGGUAAACGAUUUUCAGUGAAAACGAGUGAAACGACAUAAUCGGUAAAAAUUAUUAUUGUUCAUAAGUGCAUGUUAGAGCAAGAAUUUGAUGUUGCCAUAGAAGAGAAAAAUGUUCAGCAUGUCAUAAAACAUAAGAAAAAUGAAAAAAGUUUAAUUUAUGAGCCUAGGAGAAAAAUCGUAAUUAUGCAAAAGUUUAGGGGUAAAAAUGUAAAUUUUGUCAAAAUAUUUUUUAGGUCCGAAAUGAUUAGUAAAUUGAUUAAAUAAGUGAAAUAUGAUGUUUUAGAUCCCGAAAAACGAGAUUUGGACCUAGAAUGGGAGAAAAAUCGAAAAUCGAGAAAGUUGAUCAAAUGGACGUUUUGGUAUUGAGGCAAGUUCAUGUGUUUAAUAUGCAUUUAAUUAAGCAUGUUUGAAUGCUAAAUUGAUAUAUUAGUUAUAAAUGCUUUAGUAUUAAUUUUUGAAUAUAAUGAUAAUAGUUGAGAAAUGUUCGAUAAUGAUUCGACAUUAAAAAUGAGAAUUCGAAUAAGUUUACAUAUAAGACCAUAGUUGUAAUGUGGCUUUGUAUAAGAUCAAGAAAAUAUUGAAUAGCAUAAUUUGAGGAGAGUAAGAUAAAUUGAGGAUAUGAUGAGAUUGAGAAUGUAAGUAUGUAAGUUGAGUAGCAUUUUAUUAUUAUACAAUUGUUGCUAUUAUUAUUGAGUUAUGUGACUGGCCUUGAAAAUUUGAGCAAGUAUGUUUCAGCUAUGAUUUGUCAAGGCAUUGAUAUCUCAAGGUCCAUGUUUAUAUCAUGGCAAUUAAGAAAGAAUUGAUGGAAAAGACCAUGGUUGGACCAUGGCAGUGAGUGUACCAGUGUAAGACCAUGUCUGGGACAUGGCAUCGGCACAGUCCGACGAGUGCUAGUGUAAGACCAUGUCUGGGACAUGGCGUCGACACGGACAGAGAAGAGUCAGUGUAAGACCAUGUCUGGGACAUUGCAUCGGCAUGGAUAGAGAAGAUUCAGUGUAAGACCUUGUCUGGGACAUGACAUCGGCUCGAGAUGAGUGCUAGUGUAAGACCAUGUCUAGGACAUGACAUCGGCAUCGAUAUGUGAUCCCAUGUAAGACCAUUUCUGGGAUAUGGCAUUGGCAGUACAAGAAACAUCCUAUGUAAGACCAUUUCAAGGCAUGGCAUUGGUGAGUUCAUAAGGCAAGGAUACCAUGUAAGACCAUGUAAAGACAUGGCAAUGGUAAGUUUCAAAAAGAAAGGUACUUGAGUAAUCCAAAGAAUAAUUCAGAGAGAUGACAAGGUAAGAUCAUGAGGAAAGAGUACAGGUAUGUACAUAAGGCUUAAUAAUAUUGAGGUUAUAAGUUGAUGAUAUUAAAAGUAUUUUAAUGAGUAUAUUCAAGUAUUAAGUAAGUGAUAAGUUUUCAAUUAUACUUAUGACGCUUUGUGACAUGAUUGGCAAUAUGUCUAUAUUAUGAAAGAGUAUUAAUGUGUUAAAUGAGAUGUUGCAGGUGCGUAAGCAAGCUAUUAAGUAAGGUGCUUUAUUUUUUUUAUCCUGAGCUUUUGGUAAGGUUACCGAUGAGUCAGAUGGGAAAGUAUGAACUUAGCAUUAUUUAUGCAAAUUAUGAAAGCUUAGUAAUAAGCUAAACUAAUUACUAAUGAUUGUUAUUUUACAUGUGAACUUACUAAGCUUUAUAAGCUUACCUCUUUCCUUUCUUUUGUUCCAGAGUCUUAUCAAACAAGCUCUCGUUGGAGGUCGUGGAAGAUCGCUUCACACUAUCAACUAUCAAGUUACCAAUUGGGUAUUUUCAUUGACAGACGUUUUAAGUUAUGACAUGUAUAGGGACUUAGUCAUUUUGUAUGUAUGUCUUUAUGUUAUGGCUAAAGAAUGACAUAAAAAUAUUCAAUAACAAUUAGCUAUUGAGAUGGCUAAUUAGGAGUAUGUUUGAUGUUAUGGAUGCCUAAAUGAUAGUUAAUACAAAGAAAUAAUAAAAGAGUAAAAAUUUGCAA
Molecule: long non-coding RNA, 2216 nt
Filed under: Gossypium barbadense (sea-island cotton)
Lineage: Eukaryota; Viridiplantae; Streptophyta; Magnoliopsida; Malvales; Malvaceae
Description: long non-coding RNA (GBAR_LNC015845)
Source: RNAcentral